This 77-nucleotide transfer RNA is filed under the name Vibrio parahaemolyticus. RNAcentral's name for it is "tRNA-Gln". It matches the Rfam family "tRNA". Rfam says of the family: Transfer RNA (tRNA) molecules are approximately 80 nucleotides in length. Their secondary structure includes four short double-helical elements and three loops (D, anti-codon, and T loops). RNAcentral also lists the same sequence under 2 other names. Lineage: Bacteria; Pseudomonadati; Pseudomonadota; Gammaproteobacteria; Vibrionales; Vibrionaceae. The record is from RNAcentral.
UGGGGUGUAGCCAAGUUGGUUUAAGGCAAUAGGUUCUGAUCCUAUGAACGGGGGUUCAAGUCCCUCCACCCCAGCCA